This 442-nucleotide ribosomal RNA is filed under the name Hymenobacter sp. R-41588. RNAcentral describes it as "bacterial SSU rRNA". It matches the Rfam family "Bacterial small subunit ribosomal RNA", at positions 28 to 475 of the family's 1533-position model. The record is from RNAcentral. Lineage: Bacteria; Pseudomonadati; Bacteroidota; Cytophagia; Cytophagales; Hymenobacteraceae.
GAUGAACGCUAGCGGCAGGCCUAAUACAUGCAAGUCGAACGGUUCCUAGCAAUAGGAAUAGUGGCGCACGGGUGCGUAACGCGUAACCAACCUACCCUUGACUGGGGGAUAGCCCGCCGAAAGGCGGAUUAAUACCGCAUAAAACCACAGGGUGGCAUCACCAAAUGGUUAAAGAUUUAUUGGUCAAGGAUGGGGUUGCGUGCCAUUAGCUAGUUGGGGGGGUAACGGCCCACCAAGGCGACGAUGGCUAGGGGAGCUGAGAGGCUGGUCCCCCACACGGGCACUGAGAUACGGGCCCGACUCCUACGGGAGGCAGCAGUAGGGAAUAUUGGGCAAUGGCCGAGAGGCUGACCCAGCCAUGCCGCGUGCAGGAUGAAGGCUUUCUGAGUCGUAAACUGCUUUUGCCAGGGAAGAAUAAGGUUCGUGCGCGGACCGACGACGG